Long non-coding RNA from Microplitis demolitor, 2793 nucleotides. RefSeq lists it as uncharacterized. Lineage: Eukaryota; Metazoa; Arthropoda; Insecta; Hymenoptera; Braconidae. The transcript has 8 exons. The record is from RefSeq and is a predicted model, not a curated record.
UAUCUAUGUAUAUGUGUGUAUGUAUAUGUACCAAUAGUGCGACACCAAACGGAAAAAAGGAUUAAGUUGACAAUCGAGAAAACGCAGUGACGAGUUACGACAGGUUCAUUUAUUUAAUUAUCGAGAGUUUAUUUUUUAUUGAACAGCUUAGUGUUUCAGAUUCUUAAUACUGAUUUUUAUUAUAAACUUUUACCAAUGGCGAGUAAUAGUAAAACAUCUAAGUCCAAAUAUUACUUAGUUUUAUUUUUGGCUAAUAAUAAAAACAACCAAGAAGUAGAUAUUGUCCCCGCGAGUUGGAUAUUUCAUAAUAAUAAAAAAGAUACGGUUCGGUGUAAAUUUAUGCCUGGUCCAUAUGAUAAAUCAAAACAAAACGAGCUAAAGUCAAUGGUUCAAAAUUGUGUGGGCCCUAACGAAAGCUGGCCUGAUUACGCUGUUGAAAUACGUGGAAGAGCAAACAGCUACGAACAAGCGGAAGAACGGUUAAGUAUAUUAAAAUCAGAACCUUAUGCCUUCCCUCGCGGUUUUGGAAAUACCGAAAUAAUACCGGAAUUAUACGGUAUAAAUACUGCAUAAAUAUGGUAUUACUCGAGUUAUUUUAGCCAGUUUUUUUGCCGCAUUAUUACCAAAAAUUUACGAAAUAAAUUCCUAAUAUUUACGGUAAUAAAACAGAAAAAAUACGGUAUUUUCACAGAAUUAAAACAGUAAUUAUACAGCAUAUUUAUAGUAUAUUUUCGGCAUUUUUGCAGCAUCAAACCGUUCUACCCGUAAAAAAAUUUAUAUAUAAUUAUAUAAAAUUUUAUUCAGUUAUAUAUAAUUUUAUGUAAUUAUAUAGAACCUUAUAAAGUUAUAUAUUAAAUAACUGUCAUGAAAAAAAAAUGAAAACACCCGUUAACUCGUGGACUCGAUCCCGAGACCUAUUUGUUCAAAGUCUGAUCUGGUAGCCAUGAUGCCAAAUCACUUACUUGAAAUAUGUUACUAAUUGUAUUCAGAUGGAUACAAACAAACUUAAGAAAAUUGAAAACAUCAAUUUUCACAGAUAGUUAUUUUCACUUACAUGUUUUUGUUUGAGUAAGAAUUGUGUGAACCAAUAAAAUAAAAUAAAAAAUAUUACAUUUUGCACAUUUUCGAUGAUUUUAAAUGCAGAAGCGAACAAAAAAUAAAACCAUAUUUUUUUACAAUUUUCUAUUUUAUCAGCGUAAAUCUGGCGAAAUUGCAGGAUACUGACGGUAUUAUUAUCACAAAAACAACGAUUUUAUUAUUACUACAUUAUCCUAUUAUAGUUUUUAUACAGUAUUUUAUUGGUAAAAGUUCGGCAUUUUUAUAGUAAUAUUACUGUAGUAAUCUGGUAACUCUACAGCAUAAGUGCAGUAAGUAUAUGGCAUAACUCCAGGAAAAAAACUGGCCAAUAUAACAAUUUUAAUACCAAAUUAUUACGGUAAAUUUACGGCAUGUGCAUAAAUCCCGAAAAUUUACGGCAUUUUUACGGCAUUCGCAAAACUGCGAGGGUUUACAACUGACAAUGAACAAUCUGCUAAGUCACAGGCCUUAAAAGAUGAAAAAUUGUUCAAAAUAAAAACAACAACAAACAACAACAAAUAACAACAAACAAAGAAGUUAAGCAAAAAAGCGAAGUUAUCAAAAGAGAUACAGCGGAAAAAAAAAUCUGGUUCUGAACGUUCUAAAUCUUCAGAACAAUCUCUUGAUAGCGACUCUCCAACACAAAAGCAACGAUUGAAGAAGUUGAGGGAAAAAAUUAGAGCACGCCAAGGGAAUAAUCGUAGUAACAAUUCCAAAUCAAAUGAUUCGGGAAGCAGCAACCGGAAUAAGAACUAUAGUUUUCAUGAUUCCUCUCAAGGAAAAAAAUCUGACAAAGCUGAUUCAAAAACCAGCGGUGGAAGUAAUAAUAAUACUCAUCUCUGUGAAUUAUCUGCUCUGGAGAAAAUAUAUUUCCAAAAUUUAAUCUCAUCAACUCCAAUAACUAACAACAAUUUGAACGAAAACUUAGCCGAUAAAGGUUUAUCGAAAGAUGGAAUCAUUAAAAAAUAUUUUGUGAGCUUAAGCAAGUAAAUAGGACAACUGACAAGUUUAUCAGUUCAGCAUGGUGCGGAUUUAAAUAAUAUUUCCGAAGAAAUAAAAGAUAUAAAGAAAAGGUUGAUGAAAAAGUGUUCAUGUGACGGUGGUUAUGACGGUUCCAGUGGGGAGAGAAGCGACAAUGACGAUAACGAGGAAGAUGAGGAAACCAAAAGUGCAGGAGAAAAAAUAAAAAAAUUCGACUAUCCGAUAAACAAGAAAGAAACGUUUGAAGAAUUUAAUAAACAACUUCACGAUAAACCCCAUGAACGUAAAAUUGUAAUCAAACGCAUUCACCAAUUAGUUAAUGCAAAAGAAACCUUAAACAAUAAUAUGGAAGUGGUUAAAAGAGCUUACAUUACACGAAGUGUCGUUAUUUCAUACGUUCCGUCUGCUGUUACAAUAAGUCGAACGAAGCCGAUAUUUAAAAAUACUGUUUUUUACAAAUGCAUUGAAGAGGUGAUGCGACUAAAGUUAAAAGAUAAUUCGGGGAAUGUUUUAACUGACUCCGACAUGUUAAAAGCGAUGGCUUCUGUACUUCGCAAUGUGCGAGACUGGGACGGCCACCGCUUAUUAAGGACACAAAAGGUUGAUUCACCUGCUCCUAAAAAUUAACCUUGAACAAGAUAUGCUCUUGUUAAUAAUAUGAUUAAAAUUGAAUACAGAGGCUCAAGUUGGGACACCCUUAAUGGGGCCACUUCUGGAUUUCCUGAUUGGGAUUAG